GUGCCAGCAGCCGCGGUAAUAACGUAAGGUGGCAAGCGUUGUCCNGGAUUUUAUUGGGCGUAAAAGCGAGCGCAGGCGGUUUCUUAAGUCUGAUGUGAAAGCCCCCGGCUCAACCGGGGAGGGUCAUUGGAAACUGGGAGACUUGAGUGCAGAAGAGGAGAGUGGAAUUCCAUGUGUAGCGGUGAAAUGCGUAGAUAUAUGGAGGAACACCAGUGGCGAAGGCGGCUCUCUGGUCUGUAACUGACGCUGAGGCUCGAAAGCGUGGGGAGCAAACAGGAUUAGAUACCCUGGUAGUCC
This 297-nucleotide ribosomal RNA is filed under the name uncultured microorganism. RNAcentral's name for it is "partial 16S ribosomal RNA". It matches the Rfam family "Bacterial small subunit ribosomal RNA", at positions 505 to 796 of the family's 1533-position model. The record is from RNAcentral.